Molecule: microRNA precursor, 83 nt
Filed under: Notamacropus eugenii (tammar wallaby)
Lineage: Eukaryota; Metazoa; Chordata; Mammalia; Diprotodontia; Macropodidae
Description: miRNA (ENSMEUG00000017613.1)
Source: RNAcentral
GGGAGCCUGUCGUGUGUGUGUGUGUGUGUGUGUGUGUGUGUGUGUGUGUGUGUAGGUGCGUGCACGCAUACACACACGCACAC